This 149-nucleotide non-coding RNA is filed under the name Pseudoalteromonas citrea. Lineage: Bacteria; Pseudomonadati; Pseudomonadota; Gammaproteobacteria; Alteromonadales; Pseudoalteromonadaceae. The record is from RNAcentral.
UUCAUAUUACACAGUUAAUGUGAAUAAACUUGCUAAGAUAAUCGGGAAGUUGGUGCAAAUGCAUGUACUGGUUUAAGUCCAACACUGCCCCCGCAACGGUAAUGCUUUAUAAGCAAAGUCCGGAGACCGGCCUUGAUAUUCAUUUACUA